RNAcentral lists this ribosomal RNA (253 nucleotides) under uncultured bacterium. RNAcentral describes it as "partial 16S ribosomal RNA". It matches the Rfam family "Bacterial small subunit ribosomal RNA", at positions 524 to 776 of the family's 1533-position model. The record is from RNAcentral.
UACAGAGGUCCCGAGCGUUGUUCGGAUUCACUGGGCGUAAAGGGUGCGUAGGUGGUGAGGUAAGUCGGAUGUGAAAUCUCCGAGCUCAACUCGGAAAUGGCAUUGGAAACUACCUUGCUCGAGGGUUGGAGGGGGGACUGGAAUACUUGGUGUAGCGGUGAAAUGCGCAGAUAUCAGGAAGAACACCCGUGGCUAAGGCGGCUCUCUAGUACGGUACUGACGCUGAGACGCGAAAGCGUGGGGAGCGAACAGG